AUCAUGAUACUCCUGCAAUGCAGUUGUGUGAGAUACCACACAAAGAUGAAAUUUCUGUGA
Molecule: non-coding RNA, 60 nt
Filed under: unclassified sequences
Description: pemK RNA
Rfam family: pemK RNA
Source: RNAcentral